This is a long non-coding RNA of Esox lucius (northern pike), 2226 nucleotides long. NCBI's taxonomy places the organism in Eukaryota, Metazoa, Chordata, Actinopteri, Esociformes, Esocidae. The record is from Ensembl.
CCGUUUAUUACAAAAGCUUUUGGAGACAAGGUGUCGCCGCACAAUGUCUAAGGAUCAACAGUCAAAACAUCAUUUUUAUACUUCUACUACGCCCAAAAGAUAGAGGCGUUAACUUACAAAGCAAGUGUGCCAUUGGCCCAAUCCCAGUUCUAUUCCUUAUAGGAUAACUGCAAGUAUCCCCUUGCCCCCCCUUGUGGUUUCUGUGUUGUCUGUCCGACUAUGUGUGUGUGUCUCUGACCUGUGAUCUGUUUCUCACAAGACAGACAUACUAAAUCUUUCUCUCCCCGGCAACCGCUUGAACAGGGUUUCCUAUUCUCCUACUUGCUCCUUCAGUUUCAGCUCAUAUUACAAACCAUUACUAUUUUGCUUCAUUGGUUACAACAGCUUAUAACAGUUCACUAACUUAUACAAUCAAUACAUCUACAAUUCCCCCUUUUGAUCUCUCCCCAGAGAGAUCACCCCUAUUCGCCAAGCUCCAGUUCUCCCGGGUCAUGCUGCUCCAGUAGAGGCAUCAGCAUCCCUGGUGGCGGUCCUGGAGCCUUCUCAAUGGCUGUAGAGAUCACUCUCAUGGUGUCCUCAGGUGGGGUCACGAACCUCUUCGCUGGGGGAAUGAAGACCCGAUGCCAACCUGGGAAACCUGUAACAACAUACAACACACAUCAUUAUUCCACCAAUGUCCAUGUACCACUUCAUGACCUUCAGCAACACCCACUCCGCCUGGGGCAGGUUCUGGUCCAGCGGGUGCAGGUCCCUCCGUUCUCCGACUCUGUUGGUGAAUUCUGAAACGAGAGCUCGCAAUUCAUCAAAAUACACUCUGUGGUCUUUGGGCCACUUUUCCCCUUCCGGGACCGCAGGCCCCGCGGCUGGUCCUGGAAACUGUCUCCCCGUCAGCAGCUCGUAUGGGGUGAACCCAGUGGUCUGAUUUAACGAGCAUCGAAUCGUCAUGAGUGCCAGUGGCAGUGCAUCUACCCAGUUCAAUUUAGUCUGUGCACAUAUCUUAGCCAACUUGUUUUUUUAAGUUUUGGUUUAUCCUUUCUACCUUUCCCUGGGACUGUGGAUGGUACACAGUGCCAAAAGCAUGUUUUAGUCCCAAUAAGCUCUCUACCUUCUGUAAAUCAGGAGACCUGCGUCCUUACCAGCUGUAGCUUUUCUUUUGACACCUUGAACCCUUUCUCAGCCAGUCUGGUGAGGACCGUCAUCGUAGCUUGGAUGCAAGCGGCCACCGUCGAGGCCGUCAGCAGCAGGUCAUCUACGUACUGGACCAAAGUUCCCCCUGUCGGCAGGCAGCAUCCCUGCAGCGCUUCUCUCAGUACCUGGUUGAAUAUACCAGGGGAAAGCGCGAACCCCUGUGGUAGUCUUGUGUACCGCCAUUGCCGACCCCUAUGUGUGAAAGCAAAAAUAUCACAAAGUUCCUCUGCUAGUGGGAGACAGAAAAAAGCGUUAGCCAGGUCAAUGCAGGUGAACCAUUUUUGAUCCGGGGUCAAAUUAGUGAGUGCUACAUACGGGUUAGGUACCGGUAUAGUGGGUGUGAGUAAAAUGUUGUUAAUAGCUCUGAGAUCUGGGCCAUACGGUAUUUCCCUGUCCCUUUCUUUUCUACCGGGAGGAUAGGCGUGUUCCACGCGGAACCUGACUCCUCCAACACCCCUGAGGGCCACAAACCAUGCAAUGUCACAUCCAACCCUUCCUCUGCCUCUGGUUUGUGUGGGUAUUGGGGCAGCCAUAUGGGCUCUCCCGGGCUGAUUUUAAAGGUGACCGGUGGGCAAUCGGUGAGCCCCACGUCCGUGGGACCCUUGGACCACAGUGAGACCAGUAACUCAUUAAGUCUGGCUGUGGCUACAGGGUGAUCCAUCUUUUCCCUCCCAUGAUCCCGAGUUAUCUCCCUUCGCUCUAAAUAUACCCAAUCCGUCCCUGGUGCCUCUAAACGAUACGUCUUACAGCUGGGUGAGUACCAUACGUUUGGCGCCUGAGUGAGUGUCCAAUCAGUGCAUUCGACCGCCCUUUUAACCAUGGGCCCCAGGUCUUUUGCUUGGUGUUUAGGAUGCAAGGCCAGUGACACAUGCGGGACGGACUCUUCCGCCAUCAUGUACCACUGAUCCUGCUCCUCUGUCAACUGUACAUCUGCCGCUACCCCUUCAGGGCCUACAUAUAUGAAUUUAGACCCGACAUGCCACGUGUCCCCACACACUACAUCCCCAAACCCCUCUCUAUACACCUCAUCGCCCUGCC